UUAGCUAUAACGAACCCUAAAAUCCAGAAAAAUUCCCAAUUCUCUUAUUGUCGCAAUCAUGGCAUGGUCCAACGCGGUCUUUGCUCUCCAAGGCUCCGUUAUCGCACUCGGGAUUUUAGGCAACGCUGUACUCUGGACACAAUUCAGUCGAAACGUGCUAAAAGACUGGAUAGAUAUGAACGAGCAAGACGCUAAAAGGAUUGAUAGAUAUGAACGAGCAAGAUCUGAGUGGAGGAGGCAUGGAUAUCCGUAAGCUUCGCAAAUGAACCCGAGUACUUCUGGCUUGAUAUAAUUAUAACUACCUAAGUGUUGUGGGGAUAUCUCAUGGCUUAGUUUAGACUGUUCUGUUUUGUACCUUAAUUUUAUGGGAAUGUUGUGUAAGACAGUAAACUUGUCUGGAUAAGUAUCAAAAUCUAUCUGAUGUUUGUUUUAAUUUAGUUUAUUUUUUUUCU
Rosa chinensis is the source of this 452-nucleotide long non-coding RNA. RefSeq lists it as uncharacterized. Lineage: Eukaryota; Viridiplantae; Streptophyta; Magnoliopsida; Rosales; Rosaceae. The record is from RefSeq and is a predicted model, not a curated record. The transcript is spliced from 2 exons.